RNAcentral lists this long non-coding RNA (296 nucleotides) under Pan troglodytes (chimpanzee). RNAcentral's name for it is "long non-coding RNA NONPTRT003437". The record is from RNAcentral. Lineage: Eukaryota; Metazoa; Chordata; Mammalia; Primates; Hominidae.
UCUCAGGCUCACGACAUAAUUAAAAAAUAGAAACAAAAAUAUCAUCCUUCCCAGAUAUCUUUUGUGAAAGUUAAUUGAUUGGGAAUCUGAAAGGAUCCCAAUUGGGAAUUACAUAUAUGUGUGUAUGUAUUUCAUAUAUGUAAAUAUACAUCUAAAACUUAGAGGAAUUGCAAUAUGGAACAGCUUUAUUGUAUGCAAUUUACUUACAUACCCCUUAGCUAUGUAACUGGAGAAUACCCAGAGGAAAAUCUUUUGGCAAGAUAUUAAAAUAUUCACAAGGGUAUUUGCUAGCAGCU